Molecule: ribosomal RNA, 838 nt
Filed under: uncultured Curvibacter sp.
Lineage: Bacteria; Pseudomonadati; Pseudomonadota; Betaproteobacteria; Burkholderiales; Comamonadaceae
Description: bacterial SSU rRNA
Rfam family: Bacterial small subunit ribosomal RNA
Source: RNAcentral
CAUGCAAGUCGAACGGUAGAGGGGGCAACCCCUCGAGAGUGGCGAACGGGUGAGUAAUAUAUCGGAACGUGCCCAGUCGUGGGGGAUAACGUAGCGAAAGUUACGCUAAUACCGCAUACGAUCUACGGAUGAAAGCGGGGGAUCGCAAGACCUCGCGCGAUUGGAGCGGCCGAUAUCAGAUUAGGUAGUUGGUGGGGUAAAGGCUCACCAAGCCAACGAUCUGUAGCUGGUCUGAGAGGACGACCAGCCACACUGGAACUGAGACACGGUCCAGACUCCUACGGGAGGCAGCAGUGGGGAAUUUUGGACAAUGGACGCAAGUCUGAUCCAGCCAUUCCGCGUGCAGGAUGAAGGCCCUCGGGUUGUAAACUGCUUUUGUACGGAACGAAAAGGUCUCUCCUAAUACGAGGGGCUCAUGACGGUACCGUAAGAAUAAGCACCGGCUAACUACGUGCCAGCAGCCGCGGUAAUACGUAGGGUGCAAGCGUUAAUCGGAAUUACUGGGCGUAAAGCGUGCGCAGGCGGUUAUGUAAGACAGAGGUGAAAUCCCCGGGCUCAACCUGGGAACGGCCUUUGUGACUGCAUAGCUAGAGUACGGUAGAGGGGGAUGGAAUUCCGCGUGUAGCAGUGAAAUGCGUAGAUAUGCGGAGGAACACCGAUGGCGAAGGCAAUCCCCUGGACCUGUACUGACGCUCAUGCACGAAAGCGUGGGGAGCAAACAGGAUUAGAUACCCUGGUAGUCCACGCCCUAAACGAUGUCAACUGGUUGUUGGGGUCUUCACUGACUCAGUAACGAAGCUAACGCGUGAAGUUGACCGCCUGGGGAGUACGGCCCGCA